This 516-nucleotide ribosomal RNA is filed under the name uncultured bacterium. RNAcentral's name for it is "partial 16S ribosomal RNA". It matches the Rfam family "Bacterial small subunit ribosomal RNA", at positions 356 to 864 of the family's 1533-position model. The record is from RNAcentral.
UGGGGAAUUUGGACAAUGGGCGAAAGCCUGAUCCAGCAAUGCCGCGUGUGUGAAGAAGGCCUUCGGGUUGUAAAGCACUUUUGUCCGGAAAGAAAUCCUUGGCUCUAAUACAGUCGGGGGAUGACGGUACCAGAAGAAUAAGCACCGGCUAACUACGUGCCAGCAGCCGCGGUAAUACGUAGGGUGCAAGCGUUAAUCGGAAUUACUGGGCGUAAAGCGUGCGCAGGCGGUUUGCUAAGACCGAUGUGAAAUCCCCGGGCUCAACCUGGGAACUGCAUUGGUGACUGGCAGGCUAGAGUAUGGCAGAGGGGGGUAGAAUUCCACGUGUAGCAGUGAAAUGCGUAGAGAUGUGGAGGAAUACCGAUGGCGAAGGCAGCCCCCUGGGCCAAUACUGACGCUCAUGCACGAAAGCGUGGGGAGCAAACAGGAUUAGAUACCCUGGUAGUCCACGCCCUAAACGAUGUCAACUAGUUGUUGGGGGAUUCAUUUCCUUAGUAACGUAGCUAACGCGUGAAG